Molecule: ribosomal RNA, 1529 nt
Filed under: Tulostoma kotlabae
Lineage: Eukaryota; Fungi; Basidiomycota; Agaricomycetes; Agaricales; Agaricaceae
Description: eukaryotic LSU rRNA
Rfam family: Eukaryotic large subunit ribosomal RNA (bases 580-1529)
Source: RNAcentral
GAUGGGUUGUUGCUGGCUCUUAGGAGCAUGUGCACGCUUGUCAUCUUUAUCUAUCCACCUGUGCACCUUAUGUAGUCUUUGGAGGUAACGAGUGUGAAUAAUACUCGCACGAGUUUCUCUCCCAAGUCUAUGUUUUUCAUACACCACGUAGAAUGUCUUUGAAUGUAUUUCAUUGGGCCUCAGUGCCUAUAUAAAACACAAUACAACUUUCAGCAACGGAUCUCUUGGCUCUCGCAUCGAUGAAGAACGCAGCGAAAUGCGAUAAGUAAUGUGAAUUGCAGAAUUCAGUGAAUCAUCGAAUCUUUGAACGCACCUUGCGCUCCUUGGUAUCCCGAGGAGCAUGCCUGUUUGAGUGUCAUUUAAUUCUCAACCCCACCAGUCUUUUGUGAUUGGUUUGGUGGCUUGGAUGUGGGGGAUAUAAUAUGCGGGCCUCUUCUGAGGUCGGCUCCCCUGAAAUGCAUUAGCGGAACCGUUUGCGGACCCGUCACUGGUGUGAUAAUUAUCUACGCCAAUAAGACAACUGCUCUCUGGUUACUUCUGCUUCUAAUUGUCCGUCUUGGACAACGAUAUUCGAAUGCUUGACCUCAAAUCAGGUAGGACUACCCGCUGAACUUAAGCAUAUCAAUAAGCGGAGGAAAAGAAACUAACAAGGAUUCCCCUAGUAACUGCGAGUGAAGCGGGAAAAGCUCAAAUUUAAAAUCUGGCGGUCUUUGGCCGUCCGAGUUGUAAUCUAGAGAAGCGUCACCCGCGCUGGACCGUGUACAAGUCUCCUGGAAUGGAGCGUCAUAGAGGGUGAGAAUCCCGUCUCUGACACGGACUCCCAGGGCUUUGUGGUGCGCUCUCAAAGAGUCGAGUUGUUUGGGAAUGCAGCUCUAAAUGGGUGGUAAAUUCCAUCUAAAGCUAAAUAUUGGCGAGAGACCGAUAGCGAACAAGUACCGUGAGGGAAAGAUGAAAAGAACUUUGGAAAGAGAGUUAAACAGUACGUGAAAUUGCUGAAAGGGAAACGCUUGAAGUCAGUCGCGUUGUCCGGGGAUCAGCCUCGCUCUUGCGUGGUGUACUUCCUGGUUGACGGGUCAGCAUCAAUUUUGACCGCUGGAAAAGGUCAUGAGGAAUGUGGCAUCUUCGGAUGUGUUAUAGCCUCUUGUCGCAUACAGCGGUUGGGAUUGAGGAACUCAGCACGCCGUAAGGACGGGUUUCGACCACGUUCGUGCUUAGGAUGCUGGCAUAAUGGCUUUAAUCGACCCGUCUUGAAACACGGACCAAGGAGUCUAACAUGCCUGCGAGUGUUUGGGUGGAAAACCCGAGCGCGUAAUGAAAGUGAAAGUUGAGAUCCCUGUCGUGGGGAGCAUCGACGCCCGGACCAGAACUUUUGGGACGGAUCUGCGGUAGAGCAUGUAUGUUGGGACCCGAAAGAUGGUGAACUAUGCCUGAAUAGGGUGAAGCCAGAGGAAACUCUGGUGGAGGCUCGUAGCGAUUCUGACGUGCAAAUCGAUCGUCAAAUUUGGGUAUAGGGGCGAAAGACUAAUCGA